UACAGAGGUCCCAAGCGUUGUUCGGAUUCAUUGGGCGUAAAGGGUGCGUAGGUGGCGCGCUAAGUCAGGUGUGAAAUUUCGGAGCUUAACUCCGAAACUGCAUUCGAUACUGGUGUGCUUGAGGACUGGAGAGGAGACUGGAAUUCAUGGUGUAGCAGUGAAAUGCGUAGAGAUCAUGAGGAAGACCAGUGGCGAAGGCGGGUCUCUGGACAGUUCCUGACACUGAGGCACGAAGGCCAGGGGAGCGAACAGG
This 253-nucleotide ribosomal RNA is filed under the name uncultured bacterium. RNAcentral's name for it is "partial 16S ribosomal RNA". It matches the Rfam family "Bacterial small subunit ribosomal RNA", at positions 524 to 776 of the family's 1533-position model. The record is from RNAcentral.